ACAGUGAAGUAAGUUUGAAUAAUUCACAAGGAAGUUCUAGUGGUUUGCUAGUGACAAUGGUGCAAAAUCGUUGGUGUUAUGAAGUAUUAGACUAUGGUUUUCAACAGUAUUGCCUUUGCAAAGCAUAUAUUACCUGCAUGUGAAGGGAAAAGGUACGUAUGAUUGGGACUUUGGCAGUCCAAAAUUUAAAUUUCUUAUUGAUUGUGCUAAUUGUAGUAUGAAAGAAAGCUAUAGGUUGUUGUUUUUGUUACUUACACUCCUCUCUUGGAUAGUAUAGGUUUGUUUGCAUCAUCUAUGUUCUGUAUAACUUUUGAUUCAAUUUGCUUGUUGUGGUUUUUCCUUAUGUAUUUUUUCUUGAUAAUGAUAUAUAUUCUGAACGUUUUGUAUCCUCGCAUUUCAAUUAUAAAUUUGUUGAUUCUAAUGAUGUUCAAUUCAUUUUUGUUGUCUUUUGUUUUGAAGUCACAUGAAGAAGUCAAGUGAUUCCGAUUUAAGGUAAUUCCAAGUUGGGACUACAUUGUAGAUAUAUGUGCUAAAAGAUAGAGCAACUUGGAGCAUAACAUGCAUUGGAUGCAGAUGAUGUCUUGAGCAGAGAAGUACAGGUUCCAAUCCGAACAAUUUACUGCCUCUGACUUGUACUGUUUUUGUUCUACUACCUUUGAUUCUGUUUUUAUUCUACUUCCAAUUAAAGUUUCUCUCCUUAUAGUUCAAAUGUAAUAAAAUAUCAUCAAUCUUAUUCUGAAACUUAGAUGUAAUAAAGUAUCACCAAUCUUCUUUGGAUUUAAAAUUUUACUACUGAUUUUUGCUUGCAGAUUUCUCCUUUAUGGUUUAUAAGUUAUUGAAAAUUCUAUUUGCUGUUUGUUUCAGGUGCAGUCCUUGCGGGAUGUAAUGUGCAUGGAAAUGCUCAUACAGAGAAUGAGAACACUUAUUUAUUACUCUCAACAAAUGUAUAUACCUCAGUUGGGAAGUGGAAAGGACCUGCCAAUUUUAUUUUAGGAUGAAAAACAAGGGCAUGGGAUAAAUGAAUAUACAUUGUUGCAGUCAUUAAGAACAUGUACUAGCGAAAAAACAGGUACUAAUGUGUCUAUUUGUUCACUUUUCUAUUGUGUUUCAUUGUAUAAAUAUAUAUUGUAUAAUGUUCGUUUUAAUUUAAUCAUUUGUUAAGUGUUAUAAUUUUUAUGUAAUA
This 1183-nucleotide long non-coding RNA is filed under the name Trifolium pratense (red clover). Its description in RNAcentral is "long non-coding RNA (TPRA_LNC000243)". Lineage: Eukaryota; Viridiplantae; Streptophyta; Magnoliopsida; Fabales; Fabaceae. The record is from RNAcentral.